Molecule: ribosomal RNA, 253 nt
Filed under: uncultured bacterium
Lineage: Bacteria
Description: partial 16S ribosomal RNA
Rfam family: Bacterial small subunit ribosomal RNA
Source: RNAcentral
UACGGAGGGUGCAAGCGUUAUCCGGAUUCACUGGGUUUAAAGGGUGCGUAGGAGGGCAGGUAAGUCAGUGGUGAAAUCUUCGAGCUUAACUCGGAAACUGCCGUUGAUACUAUCUGUCUUGAAUACCGUGGAGAUGAGCGGAAUAUGUCAUGUAGCGGUGAAAUGCUUAGAUAUGACAUAGAACACCAAUUGCGAAGGCAGCUCGUUACACGAAUAAUGACUCUGAGGCACGAAAGCGUGGGGAUCAAACAGG